AAGAACCUGAAACCGUGUACGUACAAGCAGUGGGAGCCUCUUUAUGGGGUGACUGCGUACCUUUUGUAUAAUGGGUCAGCGACUUAUAUUCUGUAGCAAGGUUAACCGAAUAGGGGAGCCGAAGGGAAACCGAGUCUUAACUGGGCGUUAAGUUGCAGGGUAUAGACCCGAAACCCGGUGAUCUAGCCAUGGGCAGGUUGAAGGUUGGGUAACACUAACUGGAGGACCGAACCGACUAAUGUUGAAAAAUUAGCGGAUGACUUGUGGCUGGGGGUGAAAGGCCAAUCAAACCGGGAGAUAGCUGGUUCUCCCCGAAAGCUAUUUAGGUAGCGCCUCGUGAAUUCAUCUCCGGGGGUAGAGCACUGUUUCGGCAAGGGGGUCAUCCCGACUUACCAACCCGAUGCAAACUGCGAAUACCGGAGAAUGUUAUCACGGGAGACACACGGCGGGUGCUAACGUCCGUCGUGAAGAGGGAAACAACCCAGACCGCCAGCUAAGGUCCCAAAGUCAUGGUUAAGUGGGAAACGAUGUGGGAAGGCCCAGACAGCCAGGAUGUUGGCUUAGAAGCAGCCAUCAUUUAAAGAAAGCGUAAUAGCUCACUGGUCGAGUCGGCCUGCGCGGAAGAUGUAACGGGGCUAAACCAUGCACCGAAGCUGCGGCAGCGACGCUUAUGCGUUGUUGGGUAGGGGAGCGUUCUGUAAGCCUGCGAAGGUGUGCUGUGAGGCAUGCUGGAGGUAUCAGAAGUGCGAAUGCUGACAUAAGUAACGAUAAAGCGGGUGAAAAGCCCGCUCGCCGGAAGACCAAGGGUUCCUGUCCAACGUUAAUCGGGGCAGGGUGAGUCGACCCCUAAGGCGAGGCCGAAAGGCGUAGUCGAUGGGAAACAGGUUAAUAUUCCUGUACUUGGUGUUACUGCGAAGGGGGGACGGAGAAGGCUAUGUUGGCCGGGCGACGGUUGUCCCGGUUUAAGCGUGUAGGCUGGUUUUCCAGGCAAAUCCGGAAAAUCAAGGCUGAGGCGUGAUGACGAGGCACUACGGUGCUGAAGCAACAAAUGCCCUGCUUCCAGGAAAAGCCUCUAAGCAUCAGGUAACAUCAAAUCGUACCCCAAACCGACACAGGUGGUCAGGUAGAGAAUACCAAGGCGCUUGAGAGAACUCGGGUGAAGGAACUAGGCAAAAUGGUGCCGUAACU
RNAcentral lists this ribosomal RNA (1188 nucleotides) under Escherichia coli. Its description in RNAcentral is "partial 23S ribosomal RNA". It matches the Rfam family "Bacterial large subunit ribosomal RNA", at positions 544 to 1735 of the family's 2925-position model. Lineage: Bacteria; Pseudomonadati; Pseudomonadota; Gammaproteobacteria; Enterobacterales; Enterobacteriaceae. The record is from RNAcentral.